Molecule: long non-coding RNA, 234 nt
Filed under: Trifolium pratense (red clover)
Lineage: Eukaryota; Viridiplantae; Streptophyta; Magnoliopsida; Fabales; Fabaceae
Description: long non-coding RNA (TPRA_LNC007532)
Source: RNAcentral
AGUUAAUAAUUGAGAAAAAAAAAAGAAAUUAAUUUGUAUUGUAGAAGACAAUAGAAAGCAAAGUGUAUACCAAAAAUAAUAGAAAGCAAUGAAAAGAAAUCAACACCGAACCGAUCUGCAAUAGCGCCUGCAACCCCAACAGCUCCCACCGCAUCACUCGUCUGCGCUGCUCCGACACGGCUAGUAGCAGUGACCUCGAUUUUUCCACGCCACGCCACAAUAGCGGCCGCUUUU